GAAGAGUUUGAUCAUGGCUCAGAUUGAACGCUGGCGGCAGGCCUAACACAUGCAAGUCGAACGGUAACAGGAAGCAGCUUGCUGCUUUGCUGACGAGUGGCGGACGGGUGAGUAAUGUCUGGGAAACUGCCUGAUGGAGGGGGAUAACUACUGGAAACGGUGGCUAAUACCGCAUAACGUCGCAAGACCAAAGAGGGGGACCUUCGGGCCUCUUGCCAUCAGAUGUGCCCAGAUGGGAUUAGCUUGUUGGUGAGGUAACGGCUCACCAAGGCGACGAUCCCUAGCUGGUCUGAGAGGAUGACCAGCCACACUGGAACUGAGACACGGUCCAGACUCCUACGGGAGGCAGCAGUGGGGAAUAUUGCACAAUGGGCGCAAGCCUGAUGCAGCCAUGCCGCGUGUAUGAAGAAGGCCUUCGGGUUGUAAAGUACUUUCAGCGGGGAGGAAGGUGUUGUGGUUAAUAACCGCAGCAAUUGACGUUACCCGCAGAAGAAGCACCGGCUAACUCCGUGCCAGCAGCCGCGGUAAUACGGAGGGUGCAAGCGUUAAUCGGAAUUACUGGGCGUAAAGCGCACGCAGGCGGUCUGUCAAGUCGGAUGUGAAAUCCCCGGGCUCAACCUGGGAACUGCAUUCGAAACUGGCAGGCUUGAGUCUUGUAGAGGGGGGUAGAAUUCCAGGUGUAGCGGUGAAAUGCG
Molecule: ribosomal RNA, 695 nt
Filed under: Salmonella enterica subsp. enterica serovar Oranienburg
Lineage: Bacteria; Pseudomonadati; Pseudomonadota; Gammaproteobacteria; Enterobacterales; Enterobacteriaceae
Description: bacterial SSU rRNA
Rfam family: Bacterial small subunit ribosomal RNA
Source: RNAcentral